UACAUGGGGUGCAAACGUUGCUCGGAAUUAUUGGGCGUAAAGCGCGCGUAGGCGGUUAUCUAAGUCGGAUGUGAAAGCCCUCGGCUUAACUGAGGAAGUGCACCCGAAACUGGGUAGCUAGAGUACUAAAGAGGGUCGCGGAAUUCCCGGUGUAGAGGUGAAAUUCGUAGAUAUCGGGAGGAACACCGGUGGCGAAGGCGGCAGCCUGGGUUGACACUGACGCUGAGGCGCGAAAGCGUGGGGAGCAAACAGG
This 253-nucleotide ribosomal RNA is filed under the name uncultured bacterium. Its description in RNAcentral is "partial 16S ribosomal RNA". It matches the Rfam family "Bacterial small subunit ribosomal RNA", at positions 524 to 776 of the family's 1533-position model. The record is from RNAcentral.